AACAUAGGGGGUGGGAAGCAAACACUGUGACAGCUUAGACUUCGGUCUUUGCAAUUGCUUGGGUGUCGAAAGGCGCCCAAUCUUUAAAACUUUUAUAUUUGUUCUGAAACAAUGAAAAUUUAAAACUUUCAACAACGGAUCUCUUGGUUCUCGUAUCGAUGAAGAACGCAGCAAAGCGCGAUAGGUAAUGCGAAUUGCAGACGUGAGUCAUUGAAUUUUUGAACGCAUAUUGCGCUAUUAGUUUGUCUAAUAGCAUGCUUGUUGGAGUGAUAAUCUUCCUCUCAACCAUUUUUGGUAUGAGGUCUUGCUCCUUUUAGGAGUUAAAAUCAUGGAAGUGCACACGUUAAUUAACUCUGUGCAGUUAUACACUUUUCAUCCUCCAAUCAAGCAAGGUUACCCGCUGAACUUAAGCAUAUCAAUAAGCGGAGGAA
This 431-nucleotide ribosomal RNA is filed under the name Starmerella bacillaris. RNAcentral describes it as "eukaryotic LSU rRNA". The stretch from base 124 to 272 matches the Rfam family "5.8S ribosomal RNA". Lineage: Eukaryota; Fungi; Ascomycota; Dipodascomycetes; Dipodascales; Trichomonascaceae. The record is from RNAcentral.